Molecule: small nuclear RNA, 92 nt
Organism: Anoplophora glabripennis (Asian longhorned beetle)
Lineage: Eukaryota; Metazoa; Arthropoda; Insecta; Coleoptera; Cerambycidae
Source: RefSeq, a predicted model, not a curated record
GUGUUGUAUGAAAGGAGAGAAGUUUAGCACUCCCCUAGACAAGGAUGGAAUACAAUACACAUGGUUAAGGCACACCUUGACCACAAUUUUUU